GAUGAAGAACGUAGCGAAAUGCGAUAAGUAAUGUGAAUUGCAGAAUUCAGUGAAUCGUCGAAUCUUUGAACGCACAUUGCGCCCGCCAGUAUUCUGGCGGGCAUGCCUGUCCGAGCGUCAUUUCAACCAUCAAGCCCCGGGCUUGUGUUGGGGACCUGCGUCCGACGCAGGCCCUGAAAACCAGUGGCGGGCUCGCUGUCCACACCGAGCGUAGUAACUAACCUCGCUAUGGAGUGGCGCGGGCGCCUGCCGUAAAACCCCCAAUUUCACAAGGUUGACCUCGGAUCAGGUAGGAAUACCCGCUGAACUUAAGCAUAUCAAUAAGCGGAGGA
This 332-nucleotide unclassified non-coding RNA is filed under the name soil metagenome. RNAcentral's name for it is "partial contains 5.8S ribosomal RNA, internal transcribed spacer 2, and large subunit ribosomal RNA". The stretch from base 1 to 120 matches the Rfam family "5.8S ribosomal RNA", at positions 35 to 154 of the family's 154-position model. The record is from RNAcentral.